This 757-nucleotide ribosomal RNA is filed under the name Staphylococcus sp. J14. RNAcentral's name for it is "bacterial SSU rRNA". It matches the Rfam family "Bacterial small subunit ribosomal RNA", at positions 124 to 867 of the family's 1533-position model. The record is from RNAcentral. Lineage: Bacteria; Bacillati; Bacillota; Bacilli; Caryophanales; Staphylococcaceae.
ACCUACCUAUAAGACUGGGAUAACUUCGGGAAACCCGGAGCUAAUACCGGAUAACAUUUGGAACCGCAUGGUUCUAAAGUGAAAGAUGGUUUUGCUAUCACUUAUAGAUGGACCCGCGCCGUAUUAGCUAGUUGGUAAGGUAACGGCUUACCAAGGCGACGAUACGUAGCCGACCUGAGAGGGUGAUCGGCCACACUGGAACUGAGACACGGUCCAGACUCCUACGGGAGGCAGCAGUAGGGAAUCUUCCGCAAUGGGCGAAAGCCUGACGGAGCAACGCCGCGUGAGUGAUGAAGGGUUUCGGCUCGUAAAACUCUGUUAUUAGGGAAGAACAAAUGUGUAAGUAACUGUGCACAUCUUGACGGUACCUAAUCAGAAAGCCACGGCUAACUACGUGCCAGCAGCCGCGGUAAUACGUAGGUGGCAAGCGUUAUCCGGAAUUAUUGGGCGUAAAGCGCGCGUAGGCGGUUUCUUAAGUCUGAUGUGAAAGCCCACGGCUCAACCGUGGAGGGUCAUUGGAAACUGGGAAACUUGAGUGCAGAAGAGGAAAGUGGAAUUCCAUGUGUAGCGGUGAAAUGCGCAGAGAUAUGGAGGAACACCAGUGGCGAAGGCGACUUUCUGGUCUGUAACUGACGCUGAUGUGCGAAAGCGUGGGGAUCAAACAGGAUUAGAUACCCUGGUAGUCCACGCCGUAAACGUUGUUUUCUAAGUGUUAGGGGGUUUCCGCCCCUUAGUGCUGCAGCUAACGCAUAAGCAC